UAACAUAAGAGCUUGCUCUUGAUGACGAGUGGCGCACGGGUGAGUAACGCGUAUGCAAUCUACCUAUAAUUGAGGGAUAGCCCAAGAGAAAUUGGAUUAAUACCUCAUAAUAAUAUUUUUUGGCAUCAUUAAAUAUUUAAAACUCCGGUGAUUAUAGAUGAGCAUGCGUUCUAUUAGUUUGUUGGUGAGGUAAGAGCUCACCAAGACUACGAUAGAUAGGGGGCCUGAAAGGGUGAUCCCCCACACUGGUACUGAGACACGGACCAGACUCCUACGGGAGGCAGCAGUGAGGAAUAUUGCACAAUGGAGGAAACUCUGAUGCAGCCAUGCCGCGUGCAGGACGACGGCCCUACGGGUUGUAAACUGCUUUUUUACAAGAAGAAACCUUGGUACGUGUACCAACUUGACGGUAUUGUAAGAAUAAGCACCGGN
This 432-nucleotide ribosomal RNA is filed under the name uncultured Bacteroidota bacterium. RNAcentral's name for it is "bacterial SSU rRNA". It matches the Rfam family "Bacterial small subunit ribosomal RNA", at positions 70 to 497 of the family's 1533-position model. Lineage: Bacteria; Pseudomonadati; Bacteroidota. The record is from RNAcentral.